This 77-nucleotide transfer RNA is filed under the name Paracoccaceae bacterium. Its description in RNAcentral is "Rhodobacteraceae bacterium (wastewater metagenome) tRNA-Leu". It matches the Rfam family "tRNA". Rfam says of the family: Transfer RNA (tRNA) molecules are approximately 80 nucleotides in length. Their secondary structure includes four short double-helical elements and three loops (D, anti-codon, and T loops). Lineage: Bacteria; Pseudomonadati; Pseudomonadota; Alphaproteobacteria; Rhodobacterales; Paracoccaceae. The record is from RNAcentral.
GGGCCCAUACUCCAAUCGGUAGAGAGAGUGGACUUAAACUCCACACAGUCUGGGUUCGAGUCCCAGUGGGCCUACCA